GACGAACGCUGGCGGCGUGCUUAACACAUGCAAGUCGAACGGGAACCUUUAUUUCGGUAAAGGUGAGAGUGGCAAACGGGUGAGUAACACGUAGGCAACCUGCCGACAGGAUGGGGACAACAUUCCGAAAGGAAUGCUAAUACCGAAUGGAGUCCGGGGAUGGCAUCAUCUCUGGAUAAAAGAUGGCCUCUGAAUAUGCUAUCGCCUGUCGAUGGGCCUGCGUCUGAUUAGCCAGUUGGCGGGGUAACGGCCCACCAAAGCGACGAUCAGUAGCCGGUCUGAGAGGAUGAACGGCCACAUUGGGACUGAGACACGGCCCAGACUCCUACGGGAGGCAGCAGUGGGGAAUCUUCCACAAUGGGCGAAAGCCUGAUGGAGCAACGCCGCGUGAGUGAAGAAGGUCUUCGGAUCGUAAAGCUCUGUUGCACGGGACGAAAACCGAGCUGAGAAUAUUGAGUUUGGGGACGGUACCGAGCGA
Molecule: ribosomal RNA, 478 nt
Filed under: Selenomonas sputigena
Lineage: Bacteria; Bacillati; Bacillota; Negativicutes; Selenomonadales; Selenomonadaceae
Description: bacterial SSU rRNA
Rfam family: Bacterial small subunit ribosomal RNA
Source: RNAcentral